CCUACGGGUGGCAGCAGGGGGGAAUAGUGGGCAAUGGGCGCAAGCCGGACCCAGCAACGCCGCGGGAAGGAAGAAGGCGGUCGGGUGGGAAACUUCUUUUCUCAGGGACGAAGAAAGUGACGGUACCUGAGGAAUAAGCCACGGCUAACUACGUGCCAGCAGCCGCGGUAAUACGUAGGUGGCAAGCGUUAUCCGGAGUUAUUGGGUGUAAAGGGCGUGUAGGCGGGAGCGCAAGUCAGAUGUGAAAACUCCGGGCUCAACCCUGGGCCUGCAUUUGAAACUGUGUUUCUUGAGUGCUGGAGAGGCAAUCGGAAUUCCGUGUGUAGCGGUGAAAUGCGUAGAUAUACGGAGGAACACCAGUGGCGAAGGCGGAUUGCUGGACAGUAACUGACGCUGAGGCGCGACAGCGUGGGGAGCAAACAGGAUUAGAUACCCGAGUAGUC
This 443-nucleotide ribosomal RNA is filed under the name uncultured bacterium. RNAcentral describes it as "partial 16S ribosomal RNA". It matches the Rfam family "Bacterial small subunit ribosomal RNA", at positions 338 to 795 of the family's 1533-position model. The record is from RNAcentral.